Molecule: long non-coding RNA, 356 nt
Organism: Magallana angulata
Lineage: Eukaryota; Metazoa; Mollusca; Bivalvia; Ostreida; Ostreidae
Exons: 3
Source: RefSeq, a predicted model, not a curated record
GGGGUUGCGGUCAUCGGGGAAAUCAGGCCGGGAUCUGGAUGACCAGAUCGUCAGGGUGCUUCAAGCACCUGUUCAGGAACUUCCUCUCCAGCUGGGUUUUCCCUUCUUUGGCAAUCUACAAAAGGACAGAGUCAAAAAACGGUGCAGCUAUAUCUCCGAAGCCAUUCCGACUGAUGUCUAGGUAGUCCAAUGUAGGAUGGAUCUGUUUGAUACGAUUCAGACUCCGAAGAACACCGCAAGUGGAUAAGCGUGUACUUACUACGAGGGCCACGGACACUGCCAUGGUUCCUUUGGGGCCCAGGCCGUAGUGUCUGAUGUCGAUGCUGGGGGACUCCGCCAACUUCCGCAGGAUCUUG